This 358-nucleotide ribosomal RNA is filed under the name uncultured bacterium. Its description in RNAcentral is "partial 16S ribosomal RNA". It matches the Rfam family "Bacterial small subunit ribosomal RNA", at positions 338 to 693 of the family's 1533-position model. The record is from RNAcentral.
CCUACGUGAGUCAGCAGUGAGGAAUAUUUGUCAAUGGACGAGAGUCUGAACCAGCCAAGUAGCGUGAAGGAUGACUGCCCUAUGGGUUGUACACUUCUUUUAUAUGGGAAUACAACAGGGUAUGCAUACCCUCUUGUAUGUACCAUCUGAAUAAGGAUCGGCUAACUCCGGGCCAGCAGCCGCGGUAAUACGGAGGAUCCGAGCGUUAUCCGGAUUUAUUGGGUUUAACGGGGGCGUAGUUGGAUUGUUAAGUCAGUUGUGAAAGUUUGCGGCUCAACCGUAAAAUUGCAGUUGACACUGGCAGUCUUGAGUACAGUAGAGGUGGGCGGAAUUCGUGGUGUAGCGGUGAAAUGCUUAG